AGCGAACGCUGGCGGCAGGCCUAACACAUGCAAGUCGAACGAACUCUUCGGAGUUAGUGGCGGACGGGUGAGUAACACGUGGGAACGUGCCUUUUGGUUCGGAAUAACUCAGGGAAACUUGUGCUAAUACCGAAUGUGCCCUUCGGGGGAAAGAUUUAUCGCCAUUAGAGCGGCCCGCGUCUGAUUAGCUAGUUGGUGAGGUAACGGCUCACCAAGGCGACGAUCAGUAGCUGGUCUGAGAGGAUGACCAGCCACACUGGGACUGGGACACGGCCCAGACUCCUACGGGAGGCAGCAGUGGGGAAUCUUGCGCAAUGGGCGAAAGGCUGACGCAGCCAUGCCGCGUGAAUGAUGAAGGUCUUAGGAUUGUAAAAUUCUUUCACCGGGGACGAUAAUGACGGUACCCGGAGAAGAAGCCCCGGCUAACUUCGUG
Molecule: ribosomal RNA, 433 nt
Filed under: uncultured bacterium
Lineage: Bacteria
Description: partial 16S ribosomal RNA
Rfam family: Bacterial small subunit ribosomal RNA
Source: RNAcentral